CCUACGGGAGGCAGCAGUGGGGAAUAUUGGACAAUGGGCGAAAGCCUGAUCCAGCCAUGCCGCGUGUGUGAAGAAGGCCUUCGGGUUGUAAAGCACUUUCAGUGGGGAAGAAAGCCUUGGGGCUAAUACCCUCGAGGAAGGACAUCACCCACAGAAGAAGCACCGGCUAACUCCGUGCCAGCAGCCGCGGUAAUACGGAGGGUGCGAGCGUUAAUCGGAAUUACUGGGCGUAAAGCGCGCGUAGGCGGUCUGAUAAGCCGGUUGUGAAAGCCCCGGGCUCAACCUGGGAACGGCAUCCGGAACUGUCAGGCUAGAGUGCAGGAGAGGAAGGUAGAAUUCCCGGUGUAGCGGUGAAAUGCGUAGAGAUCGGGGGGAAUACCAGUGGCGAAGGCGGCCUUCUGGACUGACACUGACGCUGAGGUGCGAAAGCGUGGGUAGCAAACAGGAUUAGAUACCCCAGUAGUC
RNAcentral lists this ribosomal RNA (465 nucleotides) under Vreelandella stevensii. RNAcentral describes it as "partial 16S ribosomal RNA". It matches the Rfam family "Bacterial small subunit ribosomal RNA", at positions 338 to 795 of the family's 1533-position model. Lineage: Bacteria; Pseudomonadati; Pseudomonadota; Gammaproteobacteria; Oceanospirillales; Halomonadaceae. The record is from RNAcentral.